UCCUGGGGAGAGAGAAACAAUGUGUAAUUACACAGCUGAAAUGACAUACAAUUGCAUACUUGAGAAUGUUUGUGUUUGAGGUGGGAGGAUAUACACAAAAAGUUCUCAGAGUUGCUUGCAUCAUGGCAAUUAAUUUGUUUAAAUUUAUCUGUGUUUUUUUUUUUUUCCUUCUGUGAAUUAUACUUGCUCGUAUUUACUGGUGGUGCUAUCAGAGAAGCAAUGUGACUUGGCUAGCUUUCAAAUCCCAUUAAGGUUUCUAAAUGUCUGUUCAGAUUAUUUUGGUUUGAGUGCUUACAUGAAGACAGAUUGACAGAUACUGUGUAGUGAUUGAUUACCUUCCCUUGUUAGCCUUAUGUCUUUCCCCAGGGCAGGUCUUUUUCACACAACAGUGCUUAUUUGUAGGACGAAUAGUGAAGAAUAUCCUACCCAGGGCCAUCUGUUGAUCAGGAUACUAUUCUAGGUUUCAUCACUUCCUCAUAAUGUUUACAACAGUUUCAUAAUAGAGACGGUAUGUUUUAAGAGCCAGCUUUCCCCAUAAGUUCUUAUAUAACCAAAAAUUUCAAAGAACCUUUCACCCAAGAAGUCCAAACCGUAUGAAAAAAAUAUCACUACUUCAAAGAGCUCUUGAACAAGGCAUUAGUUCCAAUUUUAAGCUAAGAACUCACAUCCCUUCUUUGUAAUGCUCAGAAAACAGUGAAACUAACAUCCCUUGCAAGUGAGCUUUCUGUAAAUGAGAGAAGUUAACAAAACAAAAGGCUGAAAUGAGUAAAUUCUAGAAAUUGUAGCUUUAGAUCAUCAAAGUAAUUGGACAGAGUACUAUUAAUGUAUGAAUAUGUACCUCCCAAGAACAGUAGAGGCUUCCAGGGAUGGAGUCACCAUCCCUGAAUGUGUUUAAAAACCAUCUGGAUGUGGUGCUAAGGGACAUGAUUUAGUGGAGGGUUGUUAGAGUUAGGGUAGUAUGGUUAGGCUGUAGUUGGACUCGAUGAUCUUUGAGAUCUUUUCCAACUUGAGAGAUUCCAUGAUUCUAUGAUCAUCUUUAUAGCACUCUCUGACUCUCUCUAGAAUCUCCCUUGUCUUUCUUGAACUGGAGAGACCAGAACUGGGCACGGUACUCCGUGUGGCCUCACUGGGGCAGAGUAAAGGGGGAAGAUUAUCUCUCUACCUGCUGGCCGUGCUCUUUUUAAUACACCCCAGGAUAUCACUGAUUUCUUGGACACAAGGACACACUGCUGGCUCAUGGCCAACCUGUUGACCAUAAGGAUACAGAAGUCUUUCUUUUCACAGUGGAGAAAGUACUCCAAACUUUUGUUUGUUUUGUUUUUUGUUUGGCCAGACACAUUUUGGCCUUGGAUGAAAUUAGUCCUUUCAAUACUUAGAGACCUCAUUGCAUUCAGACCUUUAUUUAGAACAACAUACAGCCUUCCAAACAAAUCUAACUACAAAAGUGUAAUCUGAAGAACCUCAUUGUCUGCUUUGUUUUAAAAUAAGGAAUUUGUACUUAUUCUUACUCACGCAUUUUCAGUCUUCUCUUGCCCUCUUUUCGUUGUGCUUGCAAGCCUUCCCUAAGAAACCCACUCAGAAUCAGCAGUUUCUUCUUCAUUUUCCACAUCCAGGGAGGCAAGUGAAAUUAAUGAAUCUAGACUGAUUUCCAACUGUUCUAGCUGAGAAAGAGGUGAAACUCGCACUGUGGUUGUACCGUGGCUUUUAGCCACACCUUAGGACAGCAAGUGGGGAAUAAUUAGGGUGCAAAUGAAAAUAUAUAUAUACUGAUUUUCCUAAUGACAUGUGUGUGAACAGCGGGGCUUACUGGGAGUCCCAAAAUGUCUCACUGAAGGCAGCCCAGGCUGGUUCAUAAAAUUCCCUUUUAGAAACUGCCCCUGCAAAGGCUCAGCGCAGGUGGUGUUGGUUACAUGAGGGGGCCUUGCCUUGUCAGGUGUUCAGUGCACCUCAGCUAUACGGUCAAAAUCUGGACUGAAUCAUUAUCAAAUCCAGCAACGUUUUAUUCUGCCAUUUGUUUGCCCCUGUCAGUUUGACCACAGGAUUAUGUAGGUGAAAAAUACAAAUGACUACUAUGUGGCAGAUUGAGUUCGACAAAUCUCACAAACCACACCUGAUCUGUUACAACUCAGUCAAACAACCUAGCAGAGUUUCACCUUCCAAAAUGCAGAGGAAGCCCAACAGUCUCAUUUUCAACAGUGCCAUGACAGUGAAUGCAGAUGGAUGCGCAAACAUGCCAUAUAUUUAUGUCAUUCAUUAUGAACAAUGUAAGGGGUUUAAUGUGAUAUUCAGAAAGGUCAUGAAGUUUCAGAUAAUGUUCUGUCUUCCUUAGUUUUCCACGGGAGAGAAAUUUAAUACCUAUACAGCACAAUGAAGAGAUUUAUAUUCAGAAAUAUUAUUUUGCUGUCCAAAUGGAUGGGAUUUUUUUUCUCUGCUGCUGCUUGGACUUUCACAGUGUAGCAGUGCUUAAUAGUGAUUCGUCUGAGGCUUUUAGCACCCUACUGCUUUCUAUUUCAAUUUGCUGUCUUUUCCAUGAUCUAUGAAGAGGUGAACAGCCAGGUUUGCAGUGGCAACUUCCCCAUCCUCCUCUGCGUGGAUUUCCCUCCUAGGAGCAGCCAAGCUUCCCUACUGCUGCCUUAUGGCUGUUUGGCUAAAGAAUGAUGGUGGCGGUCACAAUAAACCUCUCGGGCAGUUUUCCAGAGUACUCAUCCCUGCAGUGACUUUGCUAACAAAGCUUGCAGAAAUUUGUGUUCCUAAUGAACCUACUUUCUGCUAUGGAUAUCUCAAAGUAGACUUCUCCUGGCACCAGUUGCCCGCAGGUCGAAGAGGAAGAGCGUUUUUAUACAAUGCCAUUACCAUGAGGAAAAAAAAAAAAAAGAAAAAAAAAAGAAUAAAACUUUAUGGUUAUAUUCAGCACUUAGUUAAAAGAUGGAUGACCCUACAUGGUAAAUGAAGGGAUAAAUGGUCAUUUUUCUUACAGACUGUGCUGCAGCCUUUAAAUCAGCAAAAACAUAAUUUUUUAAUUCUUCUAACACAGCUUCCUGAUAAGCUUGCUGUGAAUUCAUUGCAUGUUUUCAAACUCAUGACUGUAGUACUGAAGAAUAUAAUCCAAACAGAUGGAUGAUUAAUUACAUGAGAAGUAAUUAAAAAGAAACACGAUUUCAUGCUUUAUAAAGUAUCAGGAUUUUUGGUAGUUGUCUUGUUCUCUGUGUCCUGUAGAACUUACCGAUAAAUUAUAAUACAGAUACCAAUACUUCAAACCAGUCAAGAAAAAUUAAAGAGUUUCAUUUAUGCAAUCUGAAAUUAGUUUGGAGUACUAAAAAAUUAAGACAAUUAAAAUUUGGGACAUCUCAGCUGCCUGAUUAAACAUGCAACAAGAUGUGUGACUGACACUCCUCUCCAAUCUUCAUUUAUUUGUUAAAUAUUAAAAAACUCCUCAGAUGUAUAUAAGCCAUCUGCUGUUCUCACAUUUAUUGAACCUUGCUAUAAUAUGCAUCUGCAAAGCAUUCUCAUUUGAUGCCAUUAACUAUGGAAAUUUGCUCAUGAAAUUUUUCAGUAGAAAAACCUCAUGUUUUCUAGACACUUCUGAUUAUGGCCCAAUCUUCUUUUCUCUUUUGUCUGCAGCAGGUCUAUUUUGAUCAUCACAGCUAUGCUGCAGACUGCUUUGGUACUAAAUAACCCUGACUGAGGCUCUGCGACCAGGAUGGGUCCUUCUCACUGAUGUUAUUUUCUCAGUGCAUUGCAGACAUUUCCACCUGGAGAUGGGGCCCUUGCACAGCCAAUGGUCUACAGAGCCAGAGUUCUGGAUGCUGAAUGUCACUGUCCAGCAUUGCCAGAGGACACAGCAGAGGAGCACAGUGAUGUUAACAUUGCUGUGUUAUUGGUCACACAGCAGCCUCACUGUUUGGGUCCCAGUAUUUGCAUGGACAUAGCACCACAGCCCACUGCCAAUGAGGACGAGUCAACAAGAAAAUUAAGUUGCCACAUCCACUGAGGAAGCUGGGUCUUCAUUCUUCUGCAAGAGGACAAAGACGCAUCUACACACUAUUUAUUUACUAACGUGUUGCUCCAGGCAAGUUUUCAUCAGUCAUUCUGAAAACCAUUAUAGAAGAGAUUUCCUCAGGUAUUCAGGAGUUGACCAUUCUCUGAACAGCCUGAAGCUGAAUUGGAAGAUCACAAAAGAAGAAAGGAAAGAUUUAGAAGUACAUUUGUUUCAUGUUUCUCAGGCUUGUUCCUGGAUGGGAUUGGAAUACCCAAAUAUAGAAGUUGAUUACCUGUCAGGUGACUGGGCUUCCAAAUUUCUAAGUUCCUCAUAAAAAAAUCCAUAAACCUAAGUGAAAUGAAUCUACUUCUACACAUUCCUGAGUCCAACCGAUGGCUUUUAACAAACAAAUGAUUUCAGUGUAGCUGACAGGCUGGGCACAAUCUAACGGAUUGUAUGCUGCAGCCCCAUCGAUCCUCCUGGCUUUAAGUGCUGUUUCAAUGUGUAAUUCAUUCCAAUAAAAAAAUAUAAUCCAGUUGUUACUGGUAUAUUAUGAAUUUCUGAACAAAUUGUAAAUCAUCUUUUGGGCUUUUUUAGAGGUAAGGCUUUUAGGUCACUCUGAAAUCCAUGCCUGACAUUUAAGUGUAUAUUGCCCACAACCAGUACUGGAAUUUUGUGUUAGUUAUUCAACUGUAAAUGAAUAAUACUGCCUGUUACUGGUGUGACAGAAACAAAGAAAUGAUGCUUUUUGGAGAUGAUAACCAUGUGUUUCCAGCUAACCUACCAAAAACAGGCAGACACGGGAAUGUCUGAAUUGUCUGAAAGGACAAGUUCUUUGGGGCACUAAGUCAGAUCUGGGCUAAAUGUUAUGUUAGUAAUAUGUUUGCAAUAAAACAUAUUCAACUCUUAAAAA
This is a long non-coding RNA of Tympanuchus pallidicinctus (lesser prairie-chicken), 4892 nucleotides long. RefSeq lists it as uncharacterized. The transcript is spliced from 4 exons. The record is from RefSeq and is a predicted model, not a curated record. Lineage: Eukaryota; Metazoa; Chordata; Aves; Galliformes; Phasianidae.